GACGAACGCUGGCGGCGUGCUUAACACAUGCAAGUCGAACGGAAAGGCCUGCUUUCCCUUGUGGAUUGCGGGUACUCGAGUGGCGAACGGGUGAGUAACACGUGAGUGAUCUGCCCCCAACUUGGGUAUAAGCCUGGGAAACUGGGUCUAAUUCCCGAUAGGACUGCAGGGUGGUGCCUGUGGUGGAAAACGAUUUUCUAGUGGUUGGGGAUGAGCUCGCGGCCUAUCAGCUUGUUGGUGGGGUAAUGGCCUACCAAGGCGGCGACGGGUAGGCGGCCUGGGAGGGUGGACGGCCACAUUGGGACUGCGAUACGGCCCAGACUCCUACGGGAGGCAGCAGUGGGGAAUAUUGCACAAUGGGCGGAAGCCUGAUGCAGCGACGCCGCGUGGGGGAUGACGGCCUUCGGGUUGUAAACUCCUUUCGACCGCGAGGAAGCCACCUGGUUGGAAGGGUGGUGACGGUAGUGGUAGAAGAAGCACCGGCUAACUACGUG
Molecule: ribosomal RNA, 494 nt
Filed under: uncultured bacterium
Lineage: Bacteria
Description: partial 16S ribosomal RNA
Rfam family: Bacterial small subunit ribosomal RNA
Source: RNAcentral